RNAcentral lists this ribosomal RNA (253 nucleotides) under uncultured bacterium. Its description in RNAcentral is "partial 16S ribosomal RNA". It matches the Rfam family "Bacterial small subunit ribosomal RNA", at positions 524 to 776 of the family's 1533-position model. The record is from RNAcentral.
UACGUAGGGCGCAAGCGUUAUCCGGAAUUAUUGGGCGUAAAGAGCUCGUAGGCGGUUUGUCGCGUCUGCCGUGAAAGUCCGGGGCUCAACUCCGGAUCUGCGGUGGGUACGGGCAGACUAGAGUGAUGUAGGGGAGACUGGAAUUCCUGGUGUAGCGGUGAAAUGCGUAGAUAUCAGGAAGAACACCGAUGGCGAAAGCAGUCUGCUGGGCUUAUCCUGACACUGAGAUACGAAAGCGUGGGGAGCGAACGGG